This 253-nucleotide ribosomal RNA is filed under the name uncultured bacterium. RNAcentral describes it as "partial 16S ribosomal RNA". It matches the Rfam family "Bacterial small subunit ribosomal RNA", at positions 524 to 776 of the family's 1533-position model. The record is from RNAcentral.
UACGUAGGGGGCAAGCGUUGUCCGGAAUCAUUGGGCGUAAAGCGCGUGUAGGCGGCUCGGUAAGUCCGCUCUGAAAGCCCGGGGCUCAACCCCGGGAGGCGGGUGGAUACUGCUGAGCUCGAGUCCGGAAGAGGAGUGUGGAAUUCCUGGUGUAGCGGUGAAAUGCGCAGAUAUCAGGAGGAACACCAAUGGCGAAGGCAGCACUCUGGGACGGUACUGACGCUGAGACGUGAAAGCGUGGGGAGCAAACAGG